GAUCCUGGCUCAGGAUGAACGCUGGCGGCGUGCCUAACACAUGCAAGUCGAGCGAAGCAUUUUAAAGGAAGUUUUCGGGUGGAAUUUGGAAUGACUGAGCGGCGGACGGGUGAGUAACGCGUGGGUAACCUGCCUCAUACAGGGGGAUAACAGUUAGAAAUGACUGCUAAUACCGCAUAAGCACACAGUACCGCAUGGUACAGUGUGAAAAACUCCGGUGGUAUGAGAUGGACCCGCGU
This 239-nucleotide ribosomal RNA is filed under the name uncultured bacterium. RNAcentral's name for it is "partial 16S ribosomal RNA". It matches the Rfam family "Bacterial small subunit ribosomal RNA", at positions 15 to 236 of the family's 1533-position model. The record is from RNAcentral.